This 343-nucleotide unclassified non-coding RNA is filed under the name soil metagenome. Its description in RNAcentral is "partial contains 5.8S ribosomal RNA, internal transcribed spacer 2, and large subunit ribosomal RNA". The stretch from base 1 to 120 matches the Rfam family "5.8S ribosomal RNA", at positions 35 to 154 of the family's 154-position model. The record is from RNAcentral.
GAUGAAGAACGUAGCGAAAUGCGAUAAGUAAUGUGAAUUGCAGAAUUCAGUGAAUCAUCGAAUCUUUGAACGCACAUUGCGCCCGCCAGUAUUCUGGCGGGCAUGCCUGUUCGAGCGUCAUUUCAACCCUCAGGCCCCGCCUGGCGUUGGGGAUCGGCGCGGCCCUCUCCGGGCUGCCGGCCCCGAAAACUAGUGGCGGUCUCGCUGUAGUCCUCCUCUGCGCAGUAGCAACGCUCGCACUGGAACUCGGCGCGGCCACGCCGUAAAACACCCCACUUCUGAAAGUUGACCUCGGAUCAGGUAGGAAUCCCCGCUGAACUUAAGCAUAUCAAUAAGCGGAGGA